RNAcentral lists this ribosomal RNA (253 nucleotides) under uncultured bacterium. Its description in RNAcentral is "partial 16S ribosomal RNA". It matches the Rfam family "Bacterial small subunit ribosomal RNA", at positions 524 to 776 of the family's 1533-position model. The record is from RNAcentral.
UACGUAGGGUGCGAGCGUUAAUCGGAAUUACUGGGCGUAAAGCGUGCGCAGGCGGCUUCGCAAGUCAGACGUGAAAGCCCCGGGCUUAACCUGGGAAUGGCGUUUGAAACUACGGAGCUCGAGUGUGGCAGAGGGAGGUAGAAUUCCACGUGUAGCAGUGAAAUGCGUAGAUAUGUGGAGGAAUACCGAUGGCGAAGGCAGCCUCCUGGGCCAACACUGACGCUCAUGCACGAAAGCGUGGGGAGCAAACAGG